This 774-nucleotide ribosomal RNA is filed under the name uncultured fungus. Its description in RNAcentral is "eukaryotic LSU rRNA". It matches the Rfam family "Eukaryotic large subunit ribosomal RNA", at positions 30 to 821 of the family's 3401-position model. Lineage: Eukaryota; Fungi. The record is from RNAcentral.
GAACUUAAGCAUAUCAAUAAGCGGAGGAAAAGAAACCAACUGGGAUUGCCUCAGUAACGGCGAGUGAAGCGGCAUCAGCUCAGAUUUGAAAUCUGGUUCUUUCAGAGCCCGAGUUGUAAUCUGUAGAGGAGUCUUCGGGUUUGGAUCUGGCCUAAGUUUCUUGGAACAGAACGUCAUAGAGGGUGAGAGUCCCGUAUGAGGCCAGCUACCUAUUCCCAUGUGAAGCUUCUUCGACGAGUCGAGUUGUUUGGGAAUGCAGCUCAAAAUGGGUGGUAAACUUCAUCUAAAGCUAAAUAUUGGCGGGAGACCGAUAGCGCACAAGUAGAGUGAUCGAAAGAUGAAAAGCACUUUGAAAAGAGAGUUAAAAGGUACGUGAAAUUGUUGAAAGGGAAACGCUUGCGAUUAGACUUGCGCUCAGGUGAUCAACCGGUGUUCUCACCGGUGCACUCUCCUGCUUGCAGGCCAGCAUCGGUUUGGGCGGUUGGAUAAAGGCCCUAGGAAUGUAGCUGCCCUCGGGCAGUGUUAUAGCCUAGGGUGUAAUGCAGCCAGCCUGGACCGAGGACCGCGCUUCGGCUAGGAUGCUGGCAUAAUGGUCGUAAGCGACCCGUCUUGAAACACGGACCAAGGAGUCUAACAUCUAUGCGAGUGUUUGGGUGGAAAACCCAAGCGCGUAAUGAAAGUGAACGUAGGUGAGAACCCCUAAGGGUGCAUCAUCGACCGAUCUUGAUGUCUUCGGAUGGAUUUGAGUAAGAGCAUAGCUGUUGGGACCCGAAA